GGAGAGGCAGAUGGAGUAGCCCCACUUAUUAUCACUCCCAAUGACCCCAAUUGGGGGAUUUUGCAUUUCUCAUCCCUGCACCUUUGGCAUCUUUAGGGCUGGAGUCCUGGUCGCCAAAGGGGGAGCACUCUUUCCAGAGGACACAGCAAGGUCCAGCUGAACCACAAGCUAAGCUCUCAUCAGGGCGCUUUGGACUCCUCUUGUCCAUGGACCAAUAGGCAAGAAUUGGAGUCACCAUCUUGGCAGAGGAAGAGUAGUCCAUGGGAAACAUGGAGGAGCUGCUCCCUGAACCUGCAUGGAGACACCGAUUUGCACAGUUCAAGGUGUAACUGUGAUGGCCAUGAAAAUGCACCACACAGAUCUCUUACUGUAAGGAACAGAGUUGAUUGACAGACCCAGCCACUGCUCCUCUGGAUGGACCAUCAUAUUCACACUGAGGCUACUCUUUCUGGGCUGCUCUCAGCUGGGGAUUGACGAGUCAAAUGUCGGGAGGAACUGAACCACC
This 505-nucleotide long non-coding RNA is filed under the name Equus caballus (horse). RNAcentral describes it as "lncRNA (ENSECAG00000057556.1)". The record is from RNAcentral. Lineage: Eukaryota; Metazoa; Chordata; Mammalia; Perissodactyla; Equidae.